Molecule: ribosomal RNA, 245 nt
Filed under: uncultured bacterium
Lineage: Bacteria
Description: partial 16S ribosomal RNA
Rfam family: Bacterial small subunit ribosomal RNA
Source: RNAcentral
AGUAACGCGUGGGUAACCUGCCUCAUACAGGGGGAUAACAGUUAGAAAUGACUGCUAAUACCGCAUAAGCGCACAAAACCGCAUGGUUUGGUGUGAAUAACUGAGGUGGUAUGAGAUGGACCUGCGUCUGAUUAGCUAGUUGGAGAGGUAACGGCUCACCAAGGCAACGAUCAGUAGCCGACCUGAGAGGGUGACCGGCCACAUUGGGACUGAGACACGGCCCAAACUCCUACGGGAGGCAGCAG